This 338-nucleotide unclassified non-coding RNA is filed under the name soil metagenome. RNAcentral describes it as "partial contains 5.8S ribosomal RNA, internal transcribed spacer 2, and large subunit ribosomal RNA". The stretch from base 1 to 120 matches the Rfam family "5.8S ribosomal RNA", at positions 35 to 154 of the family's 154-position model. The record is from RNAcentral.
GAUGAAGAACGUAGCGAAAUGCGAUAAGUAAUGUGAAUUGCAGAAUUCAGUGAAUCAUCGAAUCUUUGAACGCACAUUGCGCCCGCCAGCAUUCUGGCGGGCAUGCCUGUUCGAGCGUCAUUUCAACCCUCAAGCUCUGCUUGGUGUUGGGGCCCUACGGUUGACGUAGGCCCCUAAAGGUAGUGGCGGACCCUCUCGGAGCCUCCUUUGCGUAGUAACUAACGUCUCGCAUUGGGAUUCGGAGGGACUCUUGCCGUAAAACCCCCAAAUUUUCUAAUGGUUGACCUCGGAUCAGGUAGGAAUACCCGCUGAACUUAAGCAUAUCAAUAAGCGGAGGA